UUAGUUUUAUUUCUUUUAGAAUAUUAGUUUUUUACACUAAAGGUUAUAUGACUAAAAA
This 58-nucleotide transfer RNA is filed under the name Radopholus similis. RNAcentral describes it as "transfer RNA-Lys". The record is from RNAcentral. Lineage: Eukaryota; Metazoa; Nematoda; Chromadorea; Rhabditida; Pratylenchidae.